RNAcentral lists this ribosomal RNA (253 nucleotides) under uncultured bacterium. Its description in RNAcentral is "partial 16S ribosomal RNA". It matches the Rfam family "Bacterial small subunit ribosomal RNA", at positions 524 to 776 of the family's 1533-position model. The record is from RNAcentral.
UACGAAGGGGGCAAGCGUUGUUCGGAUUUACUGGGCGUAAAGCGCUCGUAGGCGGCUUGUUAAGUCAGGGGUGAAAGCCUAGAGCUCAACUCCAGAACUGCCUUUGAUACUGGCUAGCUCGAGUGUGGAAGAGGUUGGUGGAACUGCUAGUGUAGCGGUGAAAUGCGUAGAUAUUCGCAAGAACACCAGUGGCGAAGGCGGCCAACUGGGCCAUUACUGACGCUGAGGUGAGAAAGCGUGGGGAGCAAACAGG